This is a microRNA precursor of Oryza rufipogon (brownbeard rice), 206 nucleotides long. It matches the Rfam family "MIR812 microRNA precursor family". Lineage: Eukaryota; Viridiplantae; Streptophyta; Magnoliopsida; Poales; Poaceae. The record is from Rfam.
AAAAAGGUAAACCCUGGGUUUUUGUGUCCAACUUUGACUGUCCGUCUUAUAUGAAAUUUUUUUAUAAUUCGUAUUUUCAUUGUUGUUGGAUGAUAAAACAUGAUUAAUAUUUUAUACGUGACUUGUCUUUUUAAUUUUUUUUAUAAUUUUUUUAAAUAAGACGGACGGUCAAAUGUUGGGCACGGAAACUAGUGUUUGUCUUUUUU